RNAcentral lists this ribosomal RNA (818 nucleotides) under Nocardiopsis dassonvillei subsp. dassonvillei. RNAcentral describes it as "bacterial SSU rRNA". It matches the Rfam family "Bacterial small subunit ribosomal RNA", at positions 103 to 925 of the family's 1533-position model. Lineage: Bacteria; Bacillati; Actinomycetota; Actinomycetes; Streptosporangiales; Nocardiopsidaceae. The record is from RNAcentral.
CGGGUGAGUAACACGUGAGCAACCUGCCCCUGACUCUGGGAUAAGCGGUGGAAACGCCGUCUAAUACCGGAUACGACCCGCCACCUCAUGGUGGAGGGUGGAAAGUUUUUCGGUCAGGGAUGGGCUCGCGGCCUAUCAGCUUGUUGGUGGGGUAACGGCCUACCAAGGCGAUUACGGGUAGCCGGCCUGAGAGGGCGACCGGCCACACUGGGACUGAGACACGGUCCAGACUCAUGCGGGAGGCAGCAGUGGGGAAUAUUGCGCAAUGGGCGAAAGCCUGACGCAGCGACGCCGCGUGGGGGAUGACGGCCUUCGGGUUGUAAACCUCUUUUACCACCAACGCAGGCUCCCAGUUCUCUGGGGGUUGACGGUAGGUGGGGAAUAAGGACCGGCUAACUACGUGCCAGCAGCCGCGGUAAUACGUAGGGUCCGAGCGUUGUCCGGAAUUAUUGGGCGUAAAGAGCUCGUAGGCGGCGUGUCGCGUCUGCUGUGAAAGACCGGGGCUUAACUCCGGUUCUGCAGUGGAUACGGGCAUGCUAGAGGUAGGUAGGGGAGACUGGAAUUCCUGGUGUAGCGGUGAAAUGCGCAGAUAUCAGGAGGAACACCGGUGGCGAAGGCGGGUCUCUGGGCCUUACCUGACGCUGAGGAGCGAAAGCAUGGGGAGCGAACAGGAUUAGAUACCCUGGUAGUCCAUGCCGUAAACGUUGGGCGCUAGGUGUGGGGACUUUCCACGGUUUCCGCGCCGUAGCUAACGCAUUAGCGCCCGCCUGGGGAGUACGGCCGCAGGCUAAAACUCAAAGGAAUUGACGGGGCCCGCA